Molecule: ribosomal RNA, 253 nt
Filed under: uncultured bacterium
Lineage: Bacteria
Description: partial 16S ribosomal RNA
Rfam family: Bacterial small subunit ribosomal RNA
Source: RNAcentral
UACGGGGGGAGCAAGCGUUGUUCGGAUUUACUGGGCGUAAAGGGCGCGUAGGCGGCGUGACAAGUCACUUGUGAAAUCUCCGGGCUUAACCCGGAGCGGCCAAGUGAUACUGUCGUGCUAGAGUGCGGAAGGGGCUACUGGAAUUCUCGGUGUAGCGGUGAAAUGCGUAGAUAUCGAGAGGAACACCUGCGGCGAAGGCGGGUAGCUGGGCCGACACUGACGCUGAGGUGCGAAAGCGUGGGGAGCAAACAGG